Molecule: ribosomal RNA, 253 nt
Filed under: uncultured bacterium
Lineage: Bacteria
Description: partial 16S ribosomal RNA
Rfam family: Bacterial small subunit ribosomal RNA
Source: RNAcentral
UACGUAGGGCGCAAGCGUUGUCCGGAAUCAUUGGGCGUAAAGAGCUCGUAGGCGGCCUGUUGCGUCCGCUGUGAAAUCCCGGGGCUUAACCCCGGGCGUGCAGUGGAUACGGGCUGGCUGGAGGCAGGCAGGGGAGAACGGAAUUCCCGGUGUAGCGGUGAAAUGCGCAGAUAUCGGGAGGAACACCGGUGGCGAAGGCGGUUCUCUGGGCCUGUACUGACACUCAAGCACGAAAGCGUGGGGAGCAAACAGG